GGCGGCGUGCCUAAUACAUGCAAGUCGAGCGGAAUGAUGAAGAAGCUUGCUUCUUCUGAUUUUAGCGGCGGACGGGUGAGUAACACGUGGGCAACCUACCUUGUAGAUUGGGAUAACUCCGGGAAACCGGGGCUAAUACCGAAUAAUCCAUUUUGCUUCAUGGCAAGAUGUUGAAAGGCGGCUUCGGCUGUCACUACGAGAUGGGCCCGCGGCGUAUUAGCUAGUUGGUAGGGUAAUGGCCUACCAAGGCGACGAUACGUAGCCGACCUGAGAGGGUGAUCGGCCACACUGGGACUGAGACACGGCCCAGACUCCUACGGGAGGCAGCAGUAGGGAAUCUUCCACAAUGGACGAAAGUCUGAUGGAGCAACGCCGCGUGAGUGAAGAAGGUUUUCGGAUCGUAAA
This 405-nucleotide ribosomal RNA is filed under the name Sporosarcina sp. CL7.63. RNAcentral describes it as "bacterial SSU rRNA". It matches the Rfam family "Bacterial small subunit ribosomal RNA", at positions 38 to 429 of the family's 1533-position model. Lineage: Bacteria; Bacillati; Bacillota; Bacilli; Caryophanales; Caryophanaceae. The record is from RNAcentral.